RNAcentral lists this ribosomal RNA (679 nucleotides) under Bacillus sp. (in: firmicutes). RNAcentral's name for it is "bacterial SSU rRNA". It matches the Rfam family "Bacterial small subunit ribosomal RNA", at positions 21 to 683 of the family's 1533-position model. Lineage: Bacteria; Bacillati; Bacillota; Bacilli; Caryophanales; Bacillaceae. The record is from RNAcentral.
GGCUCAGGACGAACGCUGGCGGCGUGCCUAAUACAUGCAAGUCGAGCGGACAGAAGGGAGCUUGCUCCCGGAUGUUAGCGGCGGACGGGUGAGUAACACGUGGGUAACCUGCCUGUAAGACUGGGAUAACUCCGGGAAACCGGAGCUAAUACCGGAUAGUUCCUUGAACCGCAUGGUUCAAGGAUGAAAGACGGUUUCGGCUGUCACUUACAGAUGGACCCGCGGCGCAUUAGCUAGUUGGUGGGGUAAUGGCUCACCAAGGCGACGAUGCGUAGCCGACCUGAGAGGGUGAUCGGCCACACUGGGACUGAGACACGGCCCAGACUCCUACGGGAGGCAGCAGUAGGGAAUCUUCCGCAAUGGACGAAAGUCUGACGGAGCAACGCCGCGUGAGUGAUGAAGGUUUUCGGAUCGUAAAGCUCUGUUGUUAGGGAAGAACAAGUGCGAGAGUAACUGCUCGCACCUUGACGGUACCUAACCAGAAAGCCACGGCUAACUACGUGCCAGCAGCCGCGGUAAUACGUAGGUGGCAAGCGUUGUCCGGAAUUAUUGGGCGUAAAGGGCUCGCAGGCGGUUUCUUAAGUCUGAUGUGAAAGCCCCCGGCUCAACCGGGGAGGGUCAUUGGAAACUGGGAAACUUGAGUGCAGAAGAGGAGAGUGGAAUUCCACGUGUAGCGGUG